This 3596-nucleotide long non-coding RNA is filed under the name Sus scrofa (pig). RNAcentral's name for it is "lncRNA (ENSSSCG00005001845.1)". Lineage: Eukaryota; Metazoa; Chordata; Mammalia; Artiodactyla; Suidae. The record is from RNAcentral.
CGCAGGUCACAGUUUGCCUCCACUCACUCCAACUCCCCUUCCACCCCCCCAGCCUCCCUCCUUCCGACCUGGAAUGGCUUUGUAGGAAUAACACAAAGCCUGGGAAGUGCUUUCCCCGUGGGACGGCGCGUUGUUUACCUCUGUGUUUCUUGGAAGGGAGUUUAACCUGCCUGCUGUCGGUGAGCUGUCCCUGGGCGUCCCGUGGCAGGGCUGCCCACCCUCGCAGCCUCCCAGGCUCUGAUUCCCCACCUGCACGGCCAGGGUGUCUGCCUGCAGACCGGCCUGGCCUGAUCCGUGCUCCGGGAGCCCCACGCGGCCUGGGGACCCGGGGGUCCCACCCCCUCCCACAUCGGAGAACAGUCGGGACGCAGCCGUCAGGCGCAGGUUUCCUUCAUCCUGAAACUGGGAGUCGGGAGCCUGGCUGGGGAGGGAGCCUGUGGGAACCCCCUAGGGGACGCAGGGGCGACCGCACCGCCUCCAGCAGGGGUUUUAGGGACAGAAGGCUUCCCUGGCAAGGGCAAGGGUGUUCCCUUUAGACAUCGCAGAAGCUCGCCCCCUAAGAUCUGAAAAGCCUCUGUCCCCCAGACCUGAAGGCACCUGCCAGUGGAAAAGCAAGCUGGUGUUUUCUGUGCUGCCUGCUUGCAAAUUCCUUCUCUCCCCCCCUGCCCUCUCUGUUCUCUCUCUCUCUCCGUGUCUCCCUGCGCACACACACAUACACACACACAGACGCUCUGAGAAGUAGCCAAGACCAGGGACACACACCCCAAGGCUCUUGGCAACCCUUUCUUUAACCACAGACAAGUCAAAACUGGUGGAAUCUUGGAAUCCGUGGAGGACACACUGUUUCCUUGCGAGGUGGGGUCUGAAAGAACCCCCCCCCUCAUCGUGAGCCAGCGAGAGGAGGUCUGUAGCUGGGUGAGGAAUGAAAGAUUUUUUGAACAACGGACGGCCCUGUGCCUCUAGGAUGCAGCAUCGGCCCUGAGUUCAUGGAGAGCCGGUGGGGACGUGGGCCGCUCAGCGGGUGACUCAUCGGCCAGGCUUCUGGGGACGCUCGCGGGUACUUCUGCAGCCAAAACCAGCUCUGUGUGGCUGAACAAUGCAUACCAUCCUCUGAGCUCGGAGCCGGUCAGAACAGUCAUGUCAAGGACCACUGACCAGGGGUCAGCAUGACAAGUAGCAUCAUCUUGAGAACGUGUGACAUACGGCGAGAAUUACCAAAAUGUGACACAGAGACACGAAAUGAGCAAAAGCUGUUGGAAAAAUGGCGCCAAGAGACUUGGUGGCCCCUAACCUUUCAUGUACGAGAAACGCAGCGUCUUUGCAGCACCACCAGACAAGCUCUGCCCGCAAAUGCGUGUCAGCAUUCAAUCAACGCACCUUAGCGUCUUCCUUUUGUAGCAGUGAUCUGAAUUUCAAUGUGCCUUUCAAUAUCAUUUUAUUUUAUUUUUCUCCGUAUGGAGGUUCCCAGGCUAGAGGUUGAAUCGGAGCUGCAGCUGCUGGUCUACACCACAGCCAUCACAGCAUGGGAUCCGAGCCCCGUCUGCGACCUACACCACAGCACAUGGCAACGCCAGAUCCCUAACCCACUGAGGGAGGCCAGGGAUCAAACCCAUGUCCUCAUGGAUACUAGUUGGGUUCAUUACCGCUGAGCCAGGAUGAGAACGCCUCGGUGUCAUUUAACUUAAAUGUUUUCUUUAAUGAAAUUAAUUUUAUUGAAUUUGAAUUUAAUUUUGUAAAUUAUAAAAUAUUCCCCUUACACCAGCGAUGCACAGAAGACUAACAGGGACAGCUGGGUCCCCGACCGGCAGGUUUAUCAGAGUCUGCCUUUCACUUUGUUUCCGAUCCUCUGUGUGUGUGUGAAAUGAUGCAUUUCUGCUGCCCGUGCACGGCGCUGUCUCCGUCUCCUUGCGUGAGCACACGAGACGCUCACAAGAGCCCGUCGGUCCCCAGGGGAAGUGUCCAGCAUUGUUUUCCGUGGCUUCACGGCCCCGCAUCUCUGCACUCACCGUCUAGAAGGUCUCUUUUCUGUUCUUAUUUCCAACGCCCAGAGGAUGCUUCAGUUUAAAACGGAUGAUCUAAGGAAAUGGCAUGCUUUUCUCUCUCGGCCGAGGAACGUUGUGCCGUGGAAAUUGGGAGCGUGGCAUCCGCGGCAGCGGGUUGUCUUUGAGGCGAGCCCCGCUGGUACCUCUGGGGGCACCUGUUUCUGAAGCCUGGGCGGCGUCUGGGUGUCUGUGAAGUGGUUAUAGAGGAUGAACCCAAACCUCCUGUGGAGCACAGGGGAGUCAGCUCCAUGGUUUUUUGUAGCCUCUUUGGGGAAGAAGAAUGUGUGUAUUUAGAGGUAUGGCUGAUUCCCUCUGCUGUACACCUGAAACGAACACAGCAUCGUACGUCAACUCUUCUGCAAUAAAAUGAAAAGGAAAAAUAAAAGAAAUGGUCCCAUCUGGAUCCGAAGUGGUUCACAGGCUUCUUCGCCAAAUCUCCAGAGUCGGCUCCUGGGGAGCUGCUCCUCCUGUGUGUCCCCUGCACUUGGCAAGGUGGGGAAGAGGGUGGAGCACAUCGCACGUGACAGUGACCCAGGAUGUAGGCUAAGACCCCUGGGAUCUCUUGAUGAAAACCCUCACUGCUGUCCUGUCUUGGUCAUGGAGACUUCCUCUUGGGAUGAAGAAAUGCAAUUGGGGGAGUUCCCAUUGUGGCUCAGUGGCUUAAGACCCAGCGAUGUCUCAGUGAGGAUGCGGGUUCGAUCCCUGGCCUUGCGCAGUGGGUUAGGGAUCCGGCAUUGCCACAAGCUGCAGCGUUGGUCGCAGAGGUGCCUCGGAACCAGCGUUGCCAUGGCUGUGGUGUAGACCUGCAGCUGCAGCCCCGAUUUGACCCCUAGUCUGGGAACUUCCAUAUGCUGCGGGCACUGCCCUGAAAACACAAAAAGGAAAGGAACAGAAAUGCACGUGGGGAGAGUUCUCUCAAUCGCAUUUCAGGAUCAUAGUUUUCAGUCAGCGGGAGCAGGCGUUCGGGAUGCUCCCACGCGUUCCGAGGCUUUGGAAGACCGUCCGGGGUAACGAUGCUGCGGUGGAUGCAGAGAUCUCGGGGCGGGGCGGGCCUUCCACCCACGGCAAGGAAGGAAAUGUUGCAGGAUUAUAGCAUUCGAAACAGAACAAGACAAACCCCAACGUACUGUCCAUGCCUGGUUGCCCAAAAAGUGACCUCUUCCUCCCAAGAUGCCAUUUCUGUCCCUUUUUUUUUUUUCAUACACAGGCAAGUGAUCCAUUCCAAAUGCCAAAUUCCAAAUUUGAUGGAAUAAGAAAAUUCCAUUGAUGAGUCGCAAGGCCAUCAUGCAAUUAGCUGUUAUGAAAAGACUCCCUGUUGCUUUUUUUUUGGGGGGGGGGAAUUAACAUCAAAGAUAAUCCACGCUUGUCUGGAAAGGCUAUCAAAAUACUCCUCUGAUUUCCAGCGACGUGUUGGUGGGAAGUUAGGUUUUCUUCGAAAGAAACCACAUAUUGCAACAGAUUGAACACAGAUAUCAAUAGGAGAAUCUGGCUCUCUUCCCCUGAAACUGUACGUUGGCAAAAACUUAAGACAUUUGCAAAAAAAAAAAAAAAAAA